Molecule: transfer RNA, 89 nt
Filed under: Iodidimonas nitroreducens
Lineage: Bacteria; Pseudomonadati; Pseudomonadota; Alphaproteobacteria; Iodidimonadales; Iodidimonadaceae
Description: Kordiimonadales bacterium JCM 17846 tRNA-Ser
Rfam family: tRNA
About the family: Transfer RNA (tRNA) molecules are approximately 80 nucleotides in length. Their secondary structure includes four short double-helical elements and three loops (D, anti-codon, and T loops).
Source: RNAcentral
GGAGAGGUGCCGGAGUGGUCGAACGGGGCGGUCUCGAAAACCGUUGUACCCGCAAGGUACCGAGGGUUCGAAUCCCUCUCUCUCCGCCA